RNAcentral lists this unclassified non-coding RNA (345 nucleotides) under soil metagenome. RNAcentral's name for it is "partial contains 5.8S ribosomal RNA, internal transcribed spacer 2, and large subunit ribosomal RNA". The stretch from base 1 to 120 matches the Rfam family "5.8S ribosomal RNA", at positions 35 to 154 of the family's 154-position model. The record is from RNAcentral.
GAUGAAGAACGCAGCGAAAUGCGAUAAGUAAUGCGAAUUGCAGAAUUCAGUGAGUCAUCGAAUCUUUGAACGCACAUUGCGCCCCCUGGUAUUCCGGGGGGCAUGCCUGUCCGAGCGUCAUUGCUGCCCUCAAGCACGGCUUGUGUGUUGGGCCUCCGUCCUCCUCCCGGGGGACGGGCCCGAAAGGCAGCGGCGGCACCGCGUCCGGUCCUCGAGCGUAUGGGGCUUCGUCACCCGCUCUUGUAGGCCCGGCCGGCGCUUGCCGACACAUCAAUCUUUUUUCCAGGUUGACCUCGGAUCAGGUAGGGAUACCCGCUGAACUUAAGCAUAUCAAUAAGCGGAGGG